GAUCCUGGCUCAGGAUGAACGCUAGCUACAGGCCUAACACAUGCAAGUCGGAGGGGAAACGGCAGCUUAGCUCGCUAAGCUGGACGUCGACCGGCGCACGGGUGAGUAACGCGUAUCCAACCUGCCCCACGGUGAGGGAUAACCCGCGGAACGCGGCCUAAUACCUCAUGGCCUCCGAGCUUGACAUCAAUCUUGGAGUAAAGAUUCAUUGCCGUGGGAUGGGGAUGCGUCUGAUUAG
This 238-nucleotide ribosomal RNA is filed under the name uncultured bacterium. Its description in RNAcentral is "partial 16S ribosomal RNA". It matches the Rfam family "Bacterial small subunit ribosomal RNA", at positions 15 to 244 of the family's 1533-position model. The record is from RNAcentral.